Molecule: signal recognition particle RNA, 229 nt
Filed under: Chlorocebus sabaeus (green monkey)
Lineage: Eukaryota; Metazoa; Chordata; Mammalia; Primates; Cercopithecidae
Description: Metazoan signal recognition particle RNA
Rfam family: Metazoan signal recognition particle RNA
About the family: The signal recognition particle (SRP) is a universally conserved ribonucleoprotein. It is involved in the co-translational targeting of proteins to membranes. The eukaryotic SRP consists of a 300-nucleotide 7S RNA and six proteins: SRPs 72, 68, 54, 19, 14, and 9.
Source: Rfam by way of RNAcentral
GCCAGGCGAGGUGGCGGGCGCCUGUAGUCCCAACUACUCGGGAGGCUGAGGCAGAAGGGCAUGAACCCGGGAGGCAGAGCUUGCAGUGAGCUGAGAUUCGGCCACUGCACUCCAGCCUGGGCGACAGAGCAANNNNNNNNNNUUGCUCUGUCGCCCAGGCUGGAGUGCAGUGGCCGAAUCUCAGCUCACUGCAAGCUCUGCCUCCCGGGUUCAUGCCCUUCUGCCUCAG